Molecule: ribosomal RNA, 449 nt
Filed under: uncultured bacterium
Lineage: Bacteria
Description: partial 16S ribosomal RNA
Rfam family: Bacterial small subunit ribosomal RNA
Source: RNAcentral
AACGAACGCUGGCGGCAUGCCUAAUACAUGCAAGUCGAACGAGACCUUCGGGUCUAGUGGCGCACGGGUGCGUAACGCGUGGGAAUCUGCCCUUCGGUUCGGAAUAACAGUUAGAAAUGACUGCUAAUACCGGAUAAUGACGUAAGUCCAAAGAUUUAUCGCCGAAGGAUGAGCCCGCGUAGGAUUAGCUUGUUGGUGAGGUAAAGGCUCACCAAGGCGACGAUCCUUAGCUGGUCUGAGAGGAUGAUCAGCCACACUGGGACUGAGACACGGCCCAGACUCCUACGGGAGGCAGCAGUAGGGAAUAUUGGACAAUGGGCGAAAGCCUGAUCCAGCAAUGCCGCGUGAGUGAUGAAGGCCUUAGGGUUGUAAAGCUCUUUUACCCGGGAUGGUAAUGACAGUACCGGGAGAAUAAGCUCCGGCUAACUCCGUGCCAGCCGCCGCCGUAA